Long non-coding RNA from Budorcas taxicolor (takin), 394 nucleotides. RefSeq lists it as uncharacterized. Lineage: Eukaryota; Metazoa; Chordata; Mammalia; Artiodactyla; Bovidae. The record is from RefSeq and is a predicted model, not a curated record. The transcript has 3 exons.
CAUUGGGCGGCACUCUGCCCUCGGGACCCAAGAGCCUCAAGGUCAAGCGCCAAGCCUACCCUCACGAUGGUUCAAGAGGACUGAAGCAGCCCGCUCCAGCCAGCCCGCCUGUCACAGAUAACCAUCACGGGGCUGGAGCCAAGGGUGCAACUGGAUGUGGCAGAAACCUUGGACCACUGGACAAAACCCCGAGAAGGAUUGUCAGAAGAUCCUCUGACCAAUCCUGAGGAAAUCUGGUACACUGAUGGAAGCAGCUUUGUCUUGGAUGGAAAAAGAAGAGCCAGGUCAGCAAGCUACAACAUGCAGUGCCAGUUCAACAAAGAUAUAAAACUACAGCCGACCAUGAAAAAUAUCACACACCCUUAGAUGGACACCACUAUAAGGACUCUGAGGC